AGUCAUUAUUGUAUCUAAUAAUAAUAGUAAUAUUCCAAAUGGGUAUUAAUAUAUGUGAAAAUUGUAUAUUUUAGUGUACGUUUGAAUAAUAGAAUAAAGAUAAUAGAACCUAAUUCCCAUUAGUUUACACUUACCAAUUUUGUUAUUGUUAUGUAUAUUGUGUAGUGUACGGAGGGAAAGGUUUAUUUAGUAAUCGCUUAUGGUACAAAGCUUAACAUUCAAAAACUGAAACCAUUCUCUUUGUAAUACAAUAUCCAGAAUAAUAAGAAAGGUAAUAAAAGAACCUAUUUAAAAUAUU
Non-coding RNA from Cinara cedri, 298 nucleotides. NCBI's taxonomy places the organism in Eukaryota, Metazoa, Arthropoda, Insecta, Hemiptera, Aphididae. The record is from the annotation of a GenBank genome assembly.